This 263-nucleotide ribosomal RNA is filed under the name uncultured bacterium. RNAcentral describes it as "partial 16S ribosomal RNA". It matches the Rfam family "Bacterial small subunit ribosomal RNA", at positions 524 to 776 of the family's 1533-position model. The record is from RNAcentral.
GACAGAGGGUGCAAACGUUGUUCGGAAUUACUUGGGACGGUAAAGCGCGUGGUAGGCUGCUUCGCAAGAUUCGGGAUGUGAAAGCCCCUGGGCUCAACCCAGGAAGUGCAUUCGAAACUGCAGAGCUGGAGUCCUGGAGAGGAAGGCGGAAUUCGUCGGUGUAGAGGUGAAAUUCGUAGAUAUCGAGAGGAACACCCGGUGGCGAAGGCGGCCUUCUGGACAGUGACUGACGCUGAGACGCGAAAGCGUGGGGAGCAAACAGG